Aquila chrysaetos chrysaetos is the source of this 124-nucleotide long non-coding RNA. RefSeq lists it as uncharacterized. The record is from RefSeq and is a predicted model, not a curated record. The transcript has 4 exons. Lineage: Eukaryota; Metazoa; Chordata; Aves; Accipitriformes; Accipitridae.
UGAGAAAUUAUUCAGCAAUAGCUACGCUCCUGUCUCACAAGUUGAAUGUGAUUGGGUUUAGCUGUGUCUGGAAGGAAGCACCGGUAACAAAGGCAGCAUAUGCUAUGAGGCUUCCUAAAGAUCC